UAGGGAAUCUUCGGCAAUGGACGAAAGUCUGACCGAGCAACGCCGCGUGAGUGAAGAAGGUUUUCGGAUCGUAAAACUCUGUUGUUAGAGAAGAACAAGGACGUUAGUAACUGAACGUCCCCUGACGGUAUCUAACCAGAAAGCCACGGCUAACUACGUGCCAGCAGCCGCGGUAAUACGUAGGUGGCAAGCGUUGUCCGGAUUUAUUGGGCGUAAAGCGAGCGCAGGCGGUUUCUUAAGUCUGAUGUGAAAGCCCCCGGCUCAACCGGGGAGGGUCAUUGGACACUGGGAGACUGGAGUGCAGAAGAGGAGAGUGGAAUUCCAUGUGUAGCGGUGAAAUGCGUAGAUAUAUGGAGGAACACCAGUGGCGAAGGCGGCUCUCUGGUCUGUAACUGACGCUGAGGCUCGAAAGCGUGGGGAGCAAACAGG
This 429-nucleotide ribosomal RNA is filed under the name Gemmatimonadota bacterium. RNAcentral describes it as "Gemmatimonadetes bacterium partial 16S ribosomal RNA". It matches the Rfam family "Bacterial small subunit ribosomal RNA", at positions 355 to 776 of the family's 1533-position model. Lineage: Bacteria; Pseudomonadati; Gemmatimonadota. The record is from RNAcentral.